GGGAGGAGUUCCAGGAAAACGUUGCUAAAUGGGAGAAAGAAAAGGCCAAUUUCUUGAAGCAGCUUGAAGCACGACAAAUUGACAGCAAGGACAGCAAUAUCAGCAGCCCGAAGAUUUCAGGCACCUCGGCUAAACUUCAUGAGAGAAUUACAGACCUUCAGAAAGAAAAAUUAGAUCUUGAAGAAAAACUACAGACUUCAGCUAAGGAGCUCAGGGCAUUGGAAGGAGAUCUCAAUUCCGUAAAGACAGAAAGCGAAAAGCGAGUUUCAGAGUUA
Molecule: long non-coding RNA, 275 nt
Organism: Lytechinus pictus (painted urchin)
Lineage: Eukaryota; Metazoa; Echinodermata; Echinoidea; Temnopleuroida; Toxopneustidae
Exons: 3
Source: RefSeq, a predicted model, not a curated record